CUCGGCAGACGAGGCACCUGCGGCCGAUUAGCUAGUUGGUGGGGUCACGGCCUACCAAGGCGAUGAUCGGGAGCUGGUCUGAGAGGAUGAUCAGCCACACGGGGACUGAGACACGGCCCCGACUCCUACGGGAGGCAGCAGCAAGGAAUUUUCCGCAAUGGGCGCAAGCCUGACGGAGCAACGCCGCGUGCGGGAUGACGCCUUUCGGGGUGUAAACCGCUGUUCGUGGGGACGAAGCACUGACGGUACCCACGGAGGAAGGCCCGGCUAACUACGUGCCAGCAGCCG
RNAcentral lists this ribosomal RNA (288 nucleotides) under uncultured bacterium. RNAcentral's name for it is "partial 16S ribosomal RNA". It matches the Rfam family "Bacterial small subunit ribosomal RNA", at positions 214 to 517 of the family's 1533-position model. The record is from RNAcentral.